UACGGGGGAUGCAAGCGUUAUCCGGAUUUAUUGGGUUUAAAGGGUGCGUAGGCUGUGAGGUAAGUCAGCGGUGAAAUGCCCCCGCUCAACGGGGUGAAGUGCCAUUGAUACUGCCUUGCUGGAAUGCGGAUGCCGUGGGAGGAAUGUGUGGUGUAGCGGUGAAAUGCAUAGAUAUAACUUAGAACACCGAUAGCGAAGGCAGCUUACCAGACUGAGUCUGACGCUGAUGCACGAGAGCAUGGGUAGCGAACAGG
RNAcentral lists this ribosomal RNA (254 nucleotides) under uncultured Bacteroidales bacterium. RNAcentral's name for it is "partial 16S ribosomal RNA". It matches the Rfam family "Bacterial small subunit ribosomal RNA", at positions 524 to 776 of the family's 1533-position model. The record is from RNAcentral. Lineage: Bacteria; Pseudomonadati; Bacteroidota; Bacteroidia; Bacteroidales.